GACGACUGUCUUGUCACAGGCGGAAAUCCACCCCCGGGCGCGCCUGAAAACGGUCGGAAGCAUCUAAUCAGGCGUUGGAUUUCGUAAAAGCGUCUGCGGCAAAUUGGUCACAGACAAGUUUUUCAUGAAAAUUUGGAAAUCUUCACAGAUCAGCGCCGCCCGAUCAAACACACUAAGCGCUUGAAAAUACUUCAAUAUUUUUGAGUGGUU
RNAcentral lists this unclassified non-coding RNA (210 nucleotides) under Hevea brasiliensis (rubber tree). The record is from RNAcentral. Lineage: Eukaryota; Viridiplantae; Streptophyta; Magnoliopsida; Malpighiales; Euphorbiaceae.